UACGUAGGGGGCAAGCGUUGUCCGGAAUCAUUGGGCGUAAAGAGCGCUGUAGGCGGCUCGGUAAGUCCGCUGUGAAAGUCCAGGGCUCAACCCUGGAAUGCCGGUGGAACUGUCGAGCUAGAGUCCGGAAGAGGCGAGUGGAAUUCCUGGUGUAGCGGUGAAAUGCGCAGAUAUCAGGAGGAACACCAAUAGCGAAGGCAGCUCGCUGGGACGGUACUGACGCUGAGACGC
This 231-nucleotide ribosomal RNA is filed under the name uncultured bacterium. RNAcentral's name for it is "partial 16S ribosomal RNA". It matches the Rfam family "Bacterial small subunit ribosomal RNA", at positions 524 to 754 of the family's 1533-position model. The record is from RNAcentral.